This 185-nucleotide small RNA is filed under the name Meriones unguiculatus (Mongolian gerbil). RNAcentral's name for it is "7SK RNA (ENSMUGG00000020732.1)". The stretch from base 1 to 124 matches the Rfam family "7SK RNA". From Rfam's summary of the family: 7SK was discovered as an abundant small nuclear RNA in the mid-70s but a possible function has only recently been suggested. Two independent studies have found that 7SK RNA binds the CDK9/cyclin T complex (known as elongation factor P-TEFb). The record is from RNAcentral. Lineage: Eukaryota; Metazoa; Chordata; Mammalia; Rodentia; Muridae.
GGAGGAGGGUUUCUCCCUCAACUCUCCCCUCCCGACUCAUCCCUCCCAAAGCUGUGCGCUCAGUUGAAGAGGACCACCUUCCCCAAUAGAGGAGCACCGGUCUUCGGUCAAGGGUAUACGAGAAAAAGGCUUCACAAACCAAUCACCCCAUAAUUACUUAUAGAAACUGCACAGGGACAGGAUUC